RNAcentral lists this ribosomal RNA (507 nucleotides) under uncultured bacterium. RNAcentral's name for it is "bacterial SSU rRNA". It matches the Rfam family "Bacterial small subunit ribosomal RNA", at positions 28 to 525 of the family's 1533-position model. The record is from RNAcentral.
GAUGAACGCUAGCGGCAGGCUUAAUACAUGCAAGUCGAACGGGAUCCGAGGUAGCAAUACUUUGGUGAGAGUGGCGCACGGGUGCGUAACGCGUAUGCAACCUACCUUUAACAGGGGAAUAGCCCCGAGAAAUCGGGAUUAAUACUCCGUAACAUUGCGGGAUGGCAUCAUUCUGCAAUUAAAGAUUUUAUCGGUUAAAAGAUGGGCAUGCGUGACAUUAGCUUGUUGGUGAGGUAACGGCUCACCAAGGCAACGAUGUCUAGGGGUCCUGAGAGGGUUAUCCCCCACACUGGUACUGAGACACGGACCAGACUCCUACGGGAGGCAGCAGUAAGGAAUAUUGGUCAAUGGGCACAAGCCUGAACCAGCCAUGCCGCGUGCAGGAAGACGGCCCCUAAUGGGGUUGUAAACUGCUUUUGUCAGGGAAUAAACCUGUCUACGUGUAGACAGCUGAAGGUACCUGAAGAAUAAGCAUCGGCUAACUCCGUGCCAGCAGCCGCGGUAAUC